GACGAACGCUGGCGGCGUGCUUAACACAUGCAAGUCGAACGGUGAAGCUCCAGCUUGCUGGAGUGGAUCAGUGGCGAACGGGUGAGUAACACGUGAGCAACCUGCCCCUGACUCUGGAAUAAGCGCUGGAAACGGCGUCUAAUACUGGAUACGAGAAGGGUCCGCAUGGGCACUUUCUGGAAAGUUCUUCGGUUGGGGAUGGGCUCGCGGCAUAUCCGCUUGUUGGUGAGGUAAUGGCUCACAAAGGCGACGACGGGUAGCCGGCCUGAGAGGGCGACCGGCCACACUGGGACUGAGACACGGCGCAGACUCCUACGUGAGGCAGUAGUGGGGAAUAUUGCACAAUGGGCGAAAGCCUGAUGCAGCGACGCCGCGUGAGGGAUGACGGCCUUCGGGUUGUAAACCUCUUUCAGCAGGGAAGAAGCGAAAGUGACGGUACCUGCAGAAGAAGCACCGGCUAACUACGUG
RNAcentral lists this ribosomal RNA (468 nucleotides) under uncultured bacterium. RNAcentral's name for it is "partial 16S ribosomal RNA". It matches the Rfam family "Bacterial small subunit ribosomal RNA", at positions 28 to 507 of the family's 1533-position model. The record is from RNAcentral.